Molecule: ribosomal RNA, 909 nt
Filed under: Triticum aestivum (bread wheat)
Lineage: Eukaryota; Viridiplantae; Streptophyta; Magnoliopsida; Poales; Poaceae
Description: partial small subunit ribosomal RNA
Source: RNAcentral
AUGGUUUCUUCUGCCAUGACAGUCACUGCCCCUCUCUGCCACAGCGUCAUGCCUUUCCCGGCCACUGCUAGGGACUCCUCGGCACGCUCCCGAGUGGGAAGGCCGGGCCUUGCCGCUGGCUGCUGCUCCGGUCCUAUCGCCGCCGCAGUGACCAACGCGGCCCUGGUGGCCGAUGCUGCCCGCGUCGGUACGAGGAGGUGUGAACUCUUUGAUCUCCAUCGGCAGAUAGUUCCUCUUGUUGAUUCAUGGGGUUGGCAGAAGUCCAUUGUUGAGAGGAGAAAACCGUUGGUAGGCAUAGACACGGACACAGAUGAAGAUCACUCGGACACCUUAAUCACGCUGCAGCAUCCACCAGUUUAUACACUGGGCAACGGCAAUAGCGAGAAGUACCUCAAUUUCAAUAUAGAAGAUUCUCCUAUUGAGAUUCAUCGUAUUGAUCGUGGUGGGGAGGUGACAUAUCAUGGUCCUGGACAGCUCGUUCUGUACCCGAUUCUCAAUUUGCGGUAUCAAAAGAAGGAUCUUAACUGGUACCAAAGAUCACUUGAAACUGUGAUCAUUCGUGCCCUUCAGUCCGCAUUCUCUAUUAAGGCAUCAACAAUAGAAGGCCUCACUGGCGUUUGGGUUGGGGAUCAGAAAGUUGCAGCUAUUGGAAUUAUGUGUGCAAGAUGGAUAGUAUAUCAUGGUCUAGCGCUAAAUGUCACAACUGACCUAACCCCUUUUGAACACAUUGUUCCCUGCGGCAUAAAGGGUCGUGGCGUUGGGAGCAUUAAGCAGAUAUUGCAAAAGGCUUCCAACGGUAGAGAACAUAACGAUUCAGAACUGAUGGAUAUAGCUUAUGAAUCAUUGACCAAAGAGUUUGCCGAGUUUUUCCAACUCUCUCUGGAACGCAGCCCUGAUUUGUAUCUUUAG